CCUACGGGUGGCAGCAGUGAGGAAUAUUGGUCAAUGGGCGCGAGCCUGAACCAGCCAAGUCGCGUGAGGGAUGAAGGUUCUAUGGAUCGUAAACCUCUUUUAUAAGGGAAUAAAGUGUGGGACGUGUCCUAUGUUGUAUGUACCUUAUGAAUAAGGAUCGGCUAACUCCGUGCCAGCAGCCGCGGUAAUACGGAGGAUCCGAGCGUUAUCCGGAUUUAUUGGGUUUAAAGGGUGCGUAGGCGGCCUGUUAAGUCAGCGGUGAAAGGCUGUGGCUCAACCAUAGAAUUGCCGUUGAAACUGGGAGGCUUGAGUAUGUUUGAGGCAGGCGGAAUGCGUGGUGUAGCGGUGAAAUGCUUAGAUAUCGCGCAGAACACCGAUUGCGAAGGCAGCCUGCCAGGCCAUGACUGACGCUGAUGCACGAAAGCGUGGGGAUCAAACAGGAUUAGAUACCCGUGUAGUC
RNAcentral lists this ribosomal RNA (460 nucleotides) under uncultured bacterium. RNAcentral describes it as "partial 16S ribosomal RNA". It matches the Rfam family "Bacterial small subunit ribosomal RNA", at positions 338 to 795 of the family's 1533-position model. The record is from RNAcentral.